AUGAGGGAGAUCCUCCACAUCCAGGGCGGCCAGUGCGGCAACCAGAUCGGGGCCAAGUUCUGGGAGGUGAUCUGCGACGAGCACGGCAUCGACCAGACGGGCAAGUACGCGGGCGACUCCGACCUCCAGCUCGAGCGCAUCAACGUCUACUACAACGAGGCCAGCGGCGGCCGCUACGUGCCCCGCGCCGUGCUCAUGGACCUCGAGCCCGGCACCAUGGACUCGCUCCGCUCCGGGCCCUACGGCCAGAUCUUCCGCCCCGACAACUUCGUCUUCGGCCAGUCCGGCGCCGGCAACAACUGGGCCAAGGGCCACUACACCGAGGGCGCCGAGCUCAUCGACUCCGUCCUCGACGUCGUCCGCAAGGAGGCCGAGAACUGCGACUGCCUCCAGGGAUUCCAGGUGUGCCACUCGCUGGGAGGAGGCACUGGCUCCGGAAUGGGUACCCUGCUCAUCUCCAAGAUCAGGGAGGAGUACCCUGACCGGAUGAUGAUGACAUUCUCGGUGUUCCCAUCGCCCAAGGUGUCUGAUACUGUUGUGGAGCCAUACAAUGCUACCCUCUCUGUGCACCAGCUUGUUGAGAAUGCGGAUGAGUGCAUGGUUCUUGAUAACGAGGCUCUCUACGACAUCUGCUUCCGGACGCUCAAGCUUACCACUCCCACCUUCGGUGAUCUGAACCACCUUAUCUCUGCAACCAUGAGUGGUGUUACCUGCUGUCUCCGCUUCCCUGGUCAGCUGAAUUCAGACCUCCGGAAGCUUGCUGUGAACCUGAUCCCAUUCCCACGUCUGCACUUCUUCAUGGUUGGAUUCGCACCGCUAACCUCGCGGGGUUCACAGAUGUACCGUGCCCUCACUGUGCCCGAGCUCACCCAGCAGAUGUGGGACUCAAAGAACAUGAUGUGCGCCGCUGACCCAAGGCACGGCCGCUACCUCACCGCCUCAGCCAUGUUCCGUGGGAAGAUGAGCACCAAGGAGGUGGACGAGCAGAUGCUGAACGUGCAGAACAAGAACUCAUCAUACUUCGUUGAGUGGAUCCCCAACAACGUCAAGUCGAGUGUCUGCGACAUCCCGCCCACUGGCCUGAAGAUGUCUUCCACAUUUGUCGGCAACUCCACAUCGAUCCAGGAGAUGUUCCGGCGCGUCAGCGAGCAGUUCACCGCCAUGUUCAGGAGGAAGGCCUUCUUGCACUGGUACACGGGCGAGGGCAUGGACGAGAUGGAGUUCACCGAGGCCGAGAGCAACAUGAACGACCUGGUGGCCGAGUACCAGCAGUACCAGGACGCGACGGUCGAGGAGGAAGAGGACUAUGAGGAUGAGCAGGAGGACGAGGAGGCCGCCUAA
Molecule: ribosomal RNA, 1341 nt
Filed under: Triticum aestivum (bread wheat)
Lineage: Eukaryota; Viridiplantae; Streptophyta; Magnoliopsida; Poales; Poaceae
Description: partial small subunit ribosomal RNA
Source: RNAcentral